Lotus japonicus is the source of this 1021-nucleotide long non-coding RNA. RefSeq lists it as uncharacterized. Lineage: Eukaryota; Viridiplantae; Streptophyta; Magnoliopsida; Fabales; Fabaceae. The transcript is spliced from 3 exons. The record is from RefSeq and is a predicted model, not a curated record.
CUCUCAGAAGCAUCACCACCAGACUUCAAUAUUUAUUCAUUUCCUUUCUUCCAUACUUUUACUUUCCUUUUCUCCUUCACGUUUUUCUUCCCCUGGCAGCAACAAACCGACGCCCACCACCUUCUUUUCCUCUUUCUUUCUCAUUUUCUUUCUUCUUCUACAUAUCACAUUUUUCUUCUUCUUCUUUUCCACUUCUUUUAUUCUUCUUUUUCUUCUUUCUUCAUGAAACAAUAACCACCAUGCUAAUUUCUUCUCCUCACAUUCCAGCACCCAAAACGCACAUAAUGGUCCCUCUUCCCUCCCUCACGUGAUUUCUCUCUUGUGCAGCACCAUGUCUUCAUCUUCCUAUUCUAUGGGUACGAAGGACGGAAGCGCUUGACGACGAAGCCAAAGAACAAACGGAAGUGAGCCAACACGGGAAAGCAAAGAUAUGAUUGGAUUUGAUUUGAGUCGCAACUUAGUAAGGAAAGCGCCUAAGAUGUUGACGGUGGAUUGGGUUUCGAUGGUCUCUCCCUCGGGGGGGAUCAGGUUUGAGCUGGUUGAUCGACAUGCCCCCACCGCUUGGGUGAUCGAUCUUGUGGGUCAUCAGGCGACGCACCGGGGAAGGGUCAUGGAGGACCGGACUGACGAGCGUGGACGUCUUACGAAAGGAGUUCUGCGACGCAUGGAGCUGAGCUUCAACUUGCCGACUUCAGUUCGCUGUGGACUCGGUACCGGGAGGGUAGGUUUAGGCAUGCGUCAUAUUUUGUGUAGAGCUCUGAUUCGUUUUGCUUUGGGAUAGGGUAGGUUCCCGACGCAUGACUUUUUGUGUGGCUCUCUUACUGAGGGAUCACAGUGAGUCAGUCGGACCAUAGGGGUCUUUGCUUAGGCCAUCUUGAGGCCGACUUUCUCCCAGUGGGUUGUAAUUAUAAACUUUCUUACUCACACUUCUGGGUAUGUAAAUAUUUGCCUACGGGCACAUUACUUUGGGGUCACUGCGAGUGCGCGUGACGUGGAAGUGCAGCUGAGGCUGUACAUGUUU